Molecule: ribosomal RNA, 301 nt
Filed under: uncultured bacterium
Lineage: Bacteria
Description: partial 16S ribosomal RNA
Rfam family: Bacterial small subunit ribosomal RNA
Source: RNAcentral
CAGUCGCCGCGGUAAGACGAACCGUGCGAACGUUAUUCGGAAUCACUGGGCUUAAAGCGCGUGUAGGCGGAGGGCACGUCCGUCGCUGAAAUCCCCCGGCUCAACCGGGGAACGGGCGCGGAUACGACUCUUCUGGAGGAACGUAGGGGGACCUGGAACUUCCGGUGGAGCGGUGAAAUGCGUUGAGAUCGGAAGGAACGCCCGUGGCGAAAGCGAGGUCCUGGACGUUUACUGACGCUGAGACGCGAAAGCCAGGGGAGCGAACGGGAUUAGAUACCCCUGUAGUCCCUGUCUCUUAUAC